This 17809-nucleotide long non-coding RNA is filed under the name Citrus sinensis (sweet orange). RNAcentral's name for it is "long non-coding RNA (CSIN_LNC003834)". The record is from RNAcentral. Lineage: Eukaryota; Viridiplantae; Streptophyta; Magnoliopsida; Sapindales; Rutaceae.
UUGAAUCUGCCACAUAUUCAAUGGGACCAAAUAUAUAUAUGCAACUAUUACACUAACCUCAAAUUUUGGGUGGAGUCGAUCUUGUACUUCCCUUUUUGUGCAUAAUCUUCCAAGUCAAGUUCAUAAAGUUCUUUAGGGUCAGUAGGGAGAGGCACAUUCCAUUUUCUUAUGGCAGCAACAAUGACCUUUGCCAUCCUUGUGAAUGGGCUUCCUGUGGGCUUCUUGUGCCUGUAGAAGGGUGUGCCAGUGAAGAAAAUCGCAAUGGAUAUAGAAAGACCGAGUGUCGGAAGCCCAUAACCCAAGGUCCAACCCACAUUGUCUUGAAUGUAGACAAGCACUGUAUUGGCAAAGAGUGCCCCAAAGAAGAUACUGAACAUCCACCAGUUGAAGAAGGAGAGCUUAUGGGCCUUCUCCUUGGGCUCAAAUUCAUCGAAUUGGUCCGCGCCGAUUGUUGAGAUGUUGGGCUUGGUUCCUCCGGUUCCCACAGCCAGCGUGUAGAGUGCAGCAAAGAAGAUACCUAAUUGUAAUGUCGAAGCCUUCUUACAGUCUCGACUGUUAAUAUCUUUGCAUGCAGGAGGUUUCAACCCAGGUAAUGAUACGGAUAGUGUUAGUACAAUCAUCCCCUGUUCUAGAAAAAAGAAAAUAUAGAAUUAAAAAAUCAUUAAAAAGAAUACAAAAAAAAUUAUAUGUCUUUAUAUACAAUACGCCCACUUGGCUUAAUGGUCUGGUUUUUCGAUCUUUAACUAGUCAACAAAGAGCUAACGAAAAGCUGCAAGGAGUAGGAAAGUGCAACAAAGGGGGUUACAGUACAUAAGGAUGUGGAUGUAGGAGCAGGAAAUGGGGGGGAAACACAAAAGCGAGGGAAGAAUUAAUACAAAAAGAAAAAUCAGAAAUGGCAGUGUGCCUUGGUUUAGAAAAAGCGAGAAAUUUUGAGCAGAAAAGAAUGAAAUCAAAACGGCUUUGGAAGAUAGAGAGGGCCAACAUAAAACAAGCAUAGGCCUAGCCCAAAUGGAAUCGGAAGUUGAAGACACAAAAAAUGAGCCGAGAAUGGAUAAAUAAAAACCCAAAAGAAAGAAUUGGAAAUUCCAAGCCCAAAAUAUGGAAGGAAUCGAAGACAAAAUGGAGGGGCCUACAAACUUAGAAAGGCCCAUGAGCUUAAUGAAUUGGGAAAGCCCAAGGGCAAAAAAGAGUAAAACAAGUAGCCUAUAGAAGUUUGAAUUUUCACAACAGGUACAAAGAUAUAGUGCAACAACUGCAAAGCUAAUCUUUGAUAAUGAGAAUAGUGAGCUAAGGGAGGAGAUUCAGAAUGCAGUAAAUGAAAUAUCAGCGGUAGGGAUGGGCGUUCGGUUUGGGUUAACUGGUGAAACCCGAACAAAUUCAAAGUUUCAACUCGUUCGGGUUAAAAUUCUCAACCCGUUCGGGUUGAAGCUUUUUUUUUUUUUUAAGAUUCAGCAGCUUUCAGCUUUUAAAAUUUAAAAAUAUAUAUACAUUAAACAAAAAAUCCCUAAACAUCUAAUUGUUCCUCAAAGAUGUUUGGAAUAUUUGGAAUUGAGAGUUUUAAAUUGUUGAAAUGUUAUUAAGGAUGAUUUGUAGUUGAUAUUUGUUAUUAAGGAUGUUUGGAAUUGAGAUUUUUGGAUUUUAAGUGGUUGUUAUAAUUUUUGGAUUAAAUUGUUCCUUAAGGGUGUUUGGAAUUGAGAUUUUUGGAUUUUAAGUAGUUGUUAUUAGAAUUUUUAGAUUAAAUUGUUCCAACCCAUUCUAACCCGAACUAACCCGAAUUAACCUGAACUGAAAUUUUAACCCAAAUUAUCAACCUAACCCGAUCCGAAUUGCCAACCCAAUCGGUUCAGUUUGGCUCGGGUUGGCGUUUUCAACUCAAAUGGGUUCAAUUCUCAAAUCCGAAUGGGUUGAAACCCAAACCGAACCGAAACUCGAUUUACCCAUCCCUAAUCAGCUGUGGCUGGAAGACAGCCCCGCUGACAGCCAUGAAACUCAUAACUUGGAAUGUUCGAGGGCUGGGGAAAGAUCAAACAUUCCGAGAAGUUCAGCAAAUGGUGCAGGAGCAGAGGCCUCAAAUUUUGUUUCUUUGUGAAACAAAACUGAUGUCAAAGCAAAUGCAAGCAAAAGCAAAUGCAAGCAAAAGCAAAUAAGCUUCAUUACCAAAAUUAUUUUGUAGUCAGUAAGGAAAGAUUGAGGGGUAGUUUAGCAAUGCGGUGGAGCUCAAAGGUAACAGUGGAGAUUAAAUCAUUCAAUAAACAUCAUGUAGAUUCAGCAAUACAAAGUGAGAAUAGGAGUUACCUAGAGAUGUACGAGAAUAUAUGGCCAUCGGAAUAGACCAAAAAAAACACACUUGGACUUUUUUUAGAAGGUUAACUUCUUUAUCCUCUUUACUGUGGUUAUGUUUUGGAGAUUUCAAUGAAGUUUUGAAUUUGAAUGAGAAAAUAUGAGGGAAAGAUAAAAGAGUUUGCAUGGUGAAUAAUUUUAGAGAAGCUCUGAGGGAUUGUGAUAUAAUAGAUUUAAGGAAUACUAGGUAUCCGUUUACAUGGUCAAAUCGGAGGUUUGGGUCAAACAUUAUUGAAGAAAAGCUGGAUAGAUUUUUAUGUCAUAGUAGUUGGUGGAACUGUUAUCAAGAAAAAACAGUUGUGAAUCCAACUUCUUAGAAUUCAAACCAUAGCCCAAUCUUGAUGGACAUAAUAGAGAAAAGGAAUGGACAAAGGUAUUCGAAGAGAACCUAUCCUAUGAUUCAUUACGAGGAUAUGCGGAGUCCUUACGAGAAGUGUAGGGAGAUAGUGAAGCAUGAAUGGAAGGAGGUGAGCUGCUGGAAUAGAGGGAACCCGAUUCAAAGCUUCAAGCGAAAAUCAAGGGAGUCUUUGGUAGAGCUGAAAAUAUAGAGCAAUAUGGAAUUUAAGGGAAGGGAAAAGAAGCUAAAGCAGCUUAUUGAUAAGCUUAGAGUUUUAAAAGAGAGGUACAACCAUUAUAAGCACGUGGAUGAGAUUAAAAGAAUAGAAAAUUAGAUUGACAGCAUUCUGCUCGAUGAAGAAAUUUAUUGGAAGCAAAGAUCAAGGGCAGAUUGGCUAAAAGUGGGAGACAAAAACACGAUGUUUUUUCACUCAAAAGCUUCUGCGAUGAAAAAGAAUAAUAAAAUAUAUGGCCUUGAAGAUGGAAAUGGAAAGUGGAUUAAGGAAGCUAAUGAGGUGGAAAAAAUGUUAUGUGAAUACUUCACAAACAUUUUCACCACGACAAGUCCUACAUCGGAUCAAGAUCAACCUUUUACAGAAGGGGAAGUAGCAUAUGCUCUGCCUCAGAUGUGUCCCACGAAAGCUCCAGGCUUAGAUGGACUCCCGACAGCCUUUUUUAGAAAAAUUGGAGCUUAGUCAAAGGAGUUGUCAUAACAUGUCUGCACAUCGUAAACGAGGGAAGUAAUCUAACACCACUCAACCAUACGUAUAUUGCUUUGAUUCCAAAAGUGAAAAAACCUAGGAAAAUGACUGACUACAAGCCAAUUAGCCUCUGUAAUGUCAUUUAUAGAAUAGUCGAUAAAACAAUUGCCAACAAACUCAAUGUAACACCCUAGACAAAUCCCACAUCAGUAAAGUACGGGAGAGAUGAUGGAUUUAUAAGGGGUGAUCAACACUUUAAUUGGCAAGACGCAUUUUAGAGUAUAUGAACGCCCCAAAAAUAAACCCGUGCAUGCCUUGUUAAGGCUCAAAACGGACAAUAUCUUGACAGGUCUAGGUUGGAUCAUGACAUUAUAGUAUCAGAAUGGCUCUGCGUGUCCUCUUGAGCGAUGGUGGAACAAAUCUCAGCGAGAACGCUGAGUCCCUAAAGGGAAAUAUGUAAUACCCUAAGCAAAUCUCACAUCGACAAAGCACAGUAGAGAUGUUGGGUUUAUAAAGGGUGAUCCAUACUUUAAUUGGUAAGACGCAUUUUAGGGUGUAUGGGCGCCCUAAAAACAAACAUGUGCGGGUCUUAUUAAGGCCCAAAACGAACAAUAAAUUGCCAGGUCUGGGUUGGGUCAUGACAUUGUAUAUAACACCCUAGGUAACUCUCACAUCGGUAAAGCACGGGAGAUAUGUUGGGUUUAUAACGGGUGAUCCACACCUUAAUUGGCAAGACACGUUUUGGGUGUAUGGACGCCCUAGAAACAAAUUCGUGCGGGCCUUAUUAAGGCCCAAAGCGGAUAAUAUCUUGCAAUGUCUGGGUUGGGUCAUGACAUUAUGGUAUCAGAGCGGCUCCGAGUGUUUUCUUGAGCAAUGGUGGGGCAAACCUCAGCGAGGACGCUAAGUCCCUAAGGGGGUGUAUGUAACAUCCUAGGCAAAUCUCACAUCAGCAAAACACGAGAGAGAUGUUGGGUUUGUAAGGGGUAAUCCACACCUUAAUUAGUAAGACGAGUUUUGAGGUGUAUGAGCGCUCCAGAAACAAACUCGUGUGGGCCUUGCUAAGGCCCAAAGCAAACAAUCUCUUGUCAGGUCUAGGUUGGGUCAUGACAUUAUGGUAUUAGAGCGGCUCUGCGUGUCCUCUUGAGCGAUAGUGGGAUAAACAUCAAUGAGGACGCUAAGUCCCUAAGGAGAGUGUAUGUAACUCCCUAGGCAAAUCCCAUAUCGGCAAAGUAUGGGAGAGACCUGACAAAUGAGAUCCUAGAAAAGGUUAAAGUGUUUAUGUGGAGGGCUACAAAAAACUUGUUACCAACAGCUAAAAAUCUUUGGAAGAAAAAAGUGAUAAUGGAUCUUAUAUGCAAAAGAUGUUGCUGUAAAAGCGGAAAUGUCUUCCAUGCUUUAAUGGAAUGCAGAGCUACUAGGAAGGUGUGUAAAGUGAUAGAGUUUUAUGAGGAGGUGAAGCAGAUGGCUCAUCAAGACAUGUUGAGUUUGCUCCAAGAAAUGGCUUCGAAGAGAAUGAAGAAAGGUGUAGAAUUGUUUAUUGUAGUUUGCUGGGCAAUUUGGUACUCUAUGAAUUGUUUUAUCUUUGAUGGCAAAGAAGAAGAUUCUCUGAUUUCAGUGGCAAGAGCAGUAGCUAUUGUAGAGUCUUACAAGAGGAUUAAAAUCCCGAACGAUCAAGCAAUCUCAAGGCAUAGGAAAAUCAGUUAGCUGACAUGGAUAGCUCCCCCAAAUGGCUGUUUUAAGGUGAAUGUGGAAGCUGCAAUAAAAGUCUCAGAGCAAAAGGAAGGUUUGGGAGUGGUCAUCAGAAAUUCCAGUGGAAGUGUUGUUACAGUAGCAAUUCAGAAUGUUCCAUACCAAGGAAAUGUAGCUUGUAUGGAAGGUGAAGCUGCUCUGUUUAGAAUUCAAGCUGCUCAACAGGUGGAUUGUGUGCCAAUGAUCAUUGAAUCAUAUUCAAAGGAAGUGGUGGAUCUUUCAUUAAAUAUAAAGGAAAGCAAGACAGAAAUAACAUGGAUUAUUGCAGAAAUUCAGACAAAGCUUAAAAUUCAGAGCCAAGCAUCAAUCCAAUUUGCUCCAAGGGUCUGUAAUGUCAUUGCUCAUUCCAUAGCCAAGAAAGCAUUAGCUGCUGAAAAUCAUUGUAUUUGGCUGGAAAAUUUUCCAAUUUAAAUUAUGAUGUUACUGUCAAAGUUUGUUUAAUGGAAAGCUUUACUUCCUCAUUAAAAUAAAAAAAAAAAAACUACUAGUCAACAAAGACCAAGUAAACCAUGUGCUCCGAUCUUGAAAAUUAGGAUGAUAUUUUGUCAUGUAUCCUGGUUUUAUCAUUAAUUUAUAUCAGACACCGACAAUCCGACAUCGUAUUGCCUUCUGAAAAUAGAUUUUAGGUACCUAGUCAAAGUGGUCAUUCAUGCAGGCACUCGUUUGACCUUACAAAAUUAUUUAAUCUUAUCUUUCAAUAUCAGAUAUUUUCAAUAUUUGAAAUUUUGAUAUAUGAUGUUAAACUUGCAAAUCAUGUGAUUGCAUUUGCUUACUGAUUAAAUAUCAUCAGAUGAUCGCAUGUUAGAAAAAAAAAAAAAACCUAAAUUAUCUUAUAAAUUAAUUAAAAAAUCGUUGACCAUAAUAAAUAAACAUACAUACCAUGAGGUAAAUACAAGAAGCGAUGGCGAAGGUCCAGUAGCGGCCGAGAUGGGCAUCGGCAACAUAAGCGCCCACAAUGGGGGUGACCCAAAUGGUGCCAACCCAGUUGGUGACGUUGUUAGCCGACUUCACAGUGCCCUGAUGCAGCUUGUUUGUCAAAUACAGCACCAAAUUUGACGAUAUCCCAUGAUAGGCCAUACGUUCAAACGCCUCGUAUGCUGCAAGUAAUAACAGCAAGCCAAAAAGUAGCCAACAAAAGAUUUAGAAAACAGUCGGGAAUUGAACAGUUUUGUUAAAUAUCUCCUAAAAAGUAACGUGACUACAAGUCGUGAUUUGAUUUGGAGAGAUGGACGGGAAAGGACCGCUUUUUGGUAACCACCCAUGGGGUCUUUGACAACUCCAAGUUUUGGAGCUAUGUAAUGAUUAAGGGUUACUUUUACUGUUUAAAGAUUCACUAAAAUCUCUGGAAGUGGUACAAGAAAUCUGAAGUUCGAAGCUCGCUUAUGCACACGAGGAGAUCAUACGAGGAUGAGGAAAAAGGAAAAGGGUUCCAAGGAAAUAUGGAAGAGGGAACAAAGGCAUGCAUAUGCGAUUGCAAGGUGAGACAAAAGUGUCAUAAGAGAAAUGAGCUAGCAAAACGGCUGGCCGAAUCCUGAACAAAGGCAUGCAUAUAUGGAAGGAAAUAUAAUAACAACUCUUACACUUAUAUAGUAUUAAACUGAGAGAAGUUCAAAUAUUGUACCAACAACAAAGGAGCAAGCUCUCCAUCCCCCACGCUUGGAUCUGCGAACAGGGUUGCCUUUGAGGUCCACAGUGCCAUCUUGUGUAUAAUCGUCUAUAUUUCCUUCCAUAUUUUUAUUUAAUUAUUUGCUGCUCCUUCUCUUUUCUUCUUGUUCGUCAGUUUAAGUUUAGAGUGUCCAUAGAUGUAUAAUAUCGUCAAAUUUAUAGACACUCAAUUUCUCUUCGCCGGGAAAGAUAAUUAGUAGUAAAUUUACCCAUAUGCCAUCACCAAUCUUCCUCCGAUAUUUUUUUUGGGUUGGGGGGGGGGNNNNNNNNNNNNNNNNNNNNNNNNNNNNNNNNNNNNNNNNNNNNNNNNNNNNNNNNNNNNNNNNNNNNNNNNNNNNNNNNNNNNNNNNNNNNNNNNNNNNNNNNNNNNNNNNNNNNNNNNNNNNNNNNNNNNNNNNNNNNNNNNNNNNNNNNNNNNNNNNNNNNNNNNNNNNNNNNNNNNNNNNNNNNNNNNNNNNNNNNNNNNNNNNNNNNNNNNNNNNNNNNNNNNNNNNNNNNNNNNNNNNNNNNNNNNNNNNNNNNNNNNNNNNNNNNNNNNNNNNNNNNNNNNNNNNNNNNNNNNNNNNNNNNNNNNNNNNNNNNNNNNNNNNNNNNNNNNNNNNNNNNNNNNNNNNNNNNNNNNNNNNNNNNNNNNNNNNNNNNNNNNNNNNNNNNNNNNNNNNNNNNNNNNNNNNNNNNNNNNNNNNNNNNNNNNNNNNNNNNNNNNNNNUAAUAAUUAAUGAUAAUUAUUAUUAAUAAUUAAUUUUUGAAUAUUAAUAAUAACAAUAAUUAAAUUACAAAAUAAUAAUUGUGAUAAAAAUUAAUUAAGAAUUUUAUAGUAAUUUAUUACAAUUUAACUCAUUCUAAUUUUGAUUCAUGUUUAGUGAACGCACUAUAAAAUUGUAAAUCAUUUUAUAUUCAAUUAGACCACUCUAUAUUAUUUACAAUUUAUUCAUAAAUAUUAUGAAUUUUAUAGUGCAUUCACUAAUCGGAAUAGUUAUAAUCAAGAUGAGGAAUUUGAAUCAGAAUAAUUUAUUUACUUGAACUGCAAGAAUUGUAAUUAGAAUGAGCUAUAUUACCAUUUAUGUGUUUACUUUGUCUUAAAUCAAAAUCAUAAUGAGUUAAAUCGUAACAAAUUACUAUAAAAUUCUUCAUUAAUUUUUAUCAUAAAUAUUAAUUUACAGUUAAUAAUUAUUAUAUUUUUUAAUUAAAUGGAUGGUAUUUUGGGAAUUUAAAAUUAUAAGGGGUGAAUUGAUAGUCUAAGGGUUUCAAUGAAAUAAAACAGAGUGUAAGAAGCUUAACAAAAUUUUAUAAUACAGAAAGUUUUAUAAUAUUUAUAAAUAAAUUAUAAACAAUAUAGAGUAUAGGGAGCUGAAUGAAAUUUUAUAGGACAGCGGUUGAUGUUAGGCGGACCCGUAAAUAAUAAUAUACAUGUAACACUGGUUGAAUUUUAAAUAUACUUCAGCAUAAAGUAGAGGUGAGGAACUGUAUGUCCAAGACUGUACAAGCUCAUGAUCAUUGGUUCAUCAAUUACUGAUAUCUCUCAUUUGACGCGUGGAGAAACAGUUUCCGUAGAGACCUGGAAACCUAGAGUCAAAGCAUGGGUCAAACUUAAUUUAAUAAUUUUUUUCUGGAGUAGGAAGGUAUGAGCAGCAUGGCCCAAAAAUUCUUUGUGGAAAAAAUUUUGCAAAUUAAAUCAACCGAAGACCCCACAACUGGUGAUUAAGACAAAUUAAGCCAGCUUCCUCUUGCCAAUGUCAUCAUAAGUGAAUGCGUGAUUGACAAACGCUCAACUAUCUUAUGGAUUUCUUAGCUUCCAGUCAUUGAACUGUUUUAAAUAUUCGUCGACUAUUCAAAAUUAUGAGACCAGUUGGUUGGUUUCGAUUAGAUUAUUUCUACACCAAUCACUAUAAGUACAAAAAAUUUGUAUAAUAGGGUGCGUUUGGAAUUGAGGUGCUGUAGAUUAAAAGCUACAGUUGUUGUGAAAAAAAAAAACUGUAACUAUGAAAUAAAAGUUAGUAAUAUAUAAUAAAUAUAAAUUUUAAAUAAUAAUUUUGAUAAAAUUAUUAAAGAUAUAAUAGAUUUUACAUUAUACAAAUGAAAAAUUAUAUCAACGUAACUUUCAAGAUACAACAACUAAUAUUUACCAAACGUUUUAGUGUUGUAACUUUUAAGAUACAGUUGUCCAACCUCAAUUUCAAACGCACUUUAUCUAUAACUAAAAUCACAUUUAUUUUAAUCAUCUUAUUUGUUAUUUAAUCGCUACAUUGAACCAUAUGAAUGAGGAUUAUUUUAUGUCUUUUUUUUUCUAAAUAAACUAAUAUUAACGCCAAGUAUUAUGAAUGAGGAUUAAGUCACGAGUUAUAUUAUCUCGCUUCGCACAUAUGAUAAAAGAAAAAUCCGUGAUUAUUGGCUGUGAAAAUAGGGGGACCACUCCAAGACAUUACAAGAAUCAAAUUGCAUUUACACAUUUGACCACGCAUUUGCACGGCUGCAACUUGUUUUCAACCGACCAUCCCUAUCAUGGGAUCAGAAUUGCUGACUCUUGAAUGAUCGUGUGCAUUGACUUGAUUUUCCACGACUCUUUCACUCUUCUUUUGAUUAGUAAAGUCGUCAGAAACAGCAACGGCUUCUAGACUUCCUAGUUAAACGAGAAUGGUGAAAAUGGACCAACGAAGAUGCAAUUGAAAUUGAGAUUUUCAAUUACAAAUAGAAAAAAAAAAAAAAAAAAGGAAAAAGCGAAUACAUACAUAAUUUGUAAAAGUAUUCCGAACUCUCGCAUCAACUAUUUAAAAUUGUUGUGAAUGGUCGUUAGUUCAAACGAUAAAAUCUUUUAAAUACAAAUAAGAGGUUCGAAGUUUGAAUCAAUUAUUUGUAAUUUUAAAUUUAAUUUAUGAUACCAUCAUAAUCUUAUAUUACCUUGAUGUUAAAAGUGAUGUUAAUUUAGAUUAACUUUUUCAAUUAUUUUGAGAUUUAUGGUGAUCAUAUUCUAUUUGAUUUUACCAACUGGCUGCAUUACUUAGUUCUUGAAAUUUUUUAUUUAUAAUCUUUCAAGUUGUGGUGACCCAUGGUGAAAGUGAUUUUAGUUUUUUAUGAAUACUUUUUCUAGAUUUUAGAAUAAAAAGAGUACUAAUAAAGAAACUUAUUUGCGAUCACAUUGAACAUAAAGCAUUUUUGUAUAUCAAAAAAUAGAAUCAGCCUACACUUUUUUAUCUCUAAAAAUGGAAUCAACUUAUAUUUAUCAUGGAUUAUGAGAUGUGGCAUUUGUGACGCAAAUAAUGGUGUAAUGUAAUUAAUCACGUUUAAAAAUUUAUAAAAAUUGAUCACAUUCACUAUUUGAAUAUUUUAUUUUCAUAUCAAAUGUAGAUUACAUCACAUAAUGAGCAUUUUCAUUUAAUUUUAAAGGGGAAAAAAUAAUACUAAACAUCCCAAAACUUCCACUAGAAUAUUCAUUUCAAAAUAAGGUGUGAUACUCGUCAAGCGAUGACUAAUCUUUCAUAGUUUUUAAAGUAAUUUAUUUUAAUAUUUAAUGAUUUACAUGAUCCGUGCUACGCACCUCUUAUAUAUAGUACAAUGAAUUUUUUUUCUAGAUAAGCACUAGUGUUUAUUUCAAUCACCUCUAUGAAUUUUAUAUUGGUAUCACAUAUAUAAGUUUUGUCUCCCAACUUUAUAAAUUUAUCACUAGUAUACAAGUGAUGAAUAAUUGACUGGAAACAUAAAUUAAGCUCUUCUUGACUCAUUUAACUUAUUACCUUUGGCAGACAUAAAGGUCGCUUUUCAAAAAUAAAAUAAUGGUGAAUCCCUGGACUGCUUGAUUCUAAAAAUUAAAUAAAAGAUAAUUUUGUAUUCAUCUCUUCUUUCUGGUGUGACAAGCACGUUAAAAAUUGCUCUACAUUUCGUUAUGGAUUUAUUUCUACUCGUAAACCAGACAGCACGAAAUAUUGAAAUUUUUUAAGUCUCAAUUUUUGUAAUUAUAUCUUUAUUUUCUUUCUGUCUAGUUUUCUUGAUUAUGUUGUCGGAUAAAACUGUGGUGCAACUGUGGUACCAUGCCACAGUUGCACCCAACCGUUGGAUUCCCACUUAUUCAAGUAGACCCCACUCAUUUGAGUGGAUCCAACGGCUGGUGCAACUGUGACACGGUACCACAGUUGCACUAUAGCUUGACCCUUAUGUUGUCUCAUGGAAGAAAUUCCUGACGUGACGUGUGUUUAUUUUUAUCUUAGUAGUCAAUAAUUUGAUGUGAUUGAACGUUAUUAAUACGCAUAUAUAACCAAAACUGUUUAUUUUUGUGCCUAAUAACUAAUUGACAGUAAAAUGAAAAAAAAAAAAAAAAAGAGGCAACAGAGAACUAAAAUUAGUUGGAAAUUAACUGAACAGCCAUUGGGUCUCCUGAGAUUAAAACUAAGGGUCUGAUUAUGUUGGAACUGCUCUAAGGUAGAGCAUUCUUUAAUAACCACACGAUCAAAGUUAUAACAAAUUUUUUACUAUUUAUCAUUUUUCAUGUAUGAUUAUAAUCCGUGUUUUACCUUAAAGUAGUUCCAAGAUAGCAGUGGCCUAAAACUAAUUAUAUGUGAAAUGUUAUAAAAUAAUUACCAUUAUUUGGGUCUACAAUUACCAUUUUAGGAAAAAAGAUUAUUUUUACCCAGCGUUGUUGUUAAUUUUAAACUUUCUGCUGUACGGCCAAGGCGGAUGUACGGUACAGCAGUAUGAAAUAAAAGUUAGUAAUAUAUAAUAAAUAUAAAUUUUAAAUAAUAAUUUUGAUAAAAUUAUUAAAGAUAUAAUAGAUUUUACAUUAUACAAAUGAAAAAUUAUAUCAACGUAACUUUCAAGAUACAACAACUAAUAUUUACCAAACGUUUUAGUGUUGUAACUUUUAAGAUACAGUUGUCCAACCUCAAUUUCAAACGCACUUUAUCUAUAACUAAAAUCACAUUUAUUUUAAUCAUCUUAUUUGUUAUUUAAUCGCUACAUUGAACCAUAUGAAUGAGGAUUAUUUUAUGUCUUUUUUUUUCUAAAUAAACUAAUAUUAACGCCAAGUAUUAUGAAUGAGGAUUAAGUCACGAGUUAUAUUAUCUCGCUUCGCACAUAUGAUAAAAGAAAAAUCCGUGAUUAUUGGCUGUGAAAAUAGGGGGACCACUCCAAGACAUUACAAGAAUCAAAUUGCAUUUACACAUUUGACCACGCAUUUGCACGGCUGCAACUUGUUUUCAACCGACCAUCCCUAUCAUGGGAUCAGAAUUGCUGACUCUUGAAUGAUCGUGUGCAUUGACUUGAUUUUCCACGACUCUUUCACUCUUCUUUUGAUUAGUAAAGUCGUCAGAAACAGCAACGGCUUCUAGACUUCCUAGUUAAACGAGAAUGGUGAAAAUGGACCAACGAAGAUGCAAUUGAAAUUGAGAUUUUCAAUUACAAAUAGAAAAAAAAAAAAAAAAAAGGAAAAAGCGAAUACAUACAUAAUUUGUAAAAGUAUUCCGAACUCUCGCAUCAACUAUUUAAAAUUGUUGUGAAUGGUCGUUAGUUCAAACGAUAAAAUCUUUUAAAUACAAAUAAGAGGUUCGAAGUUUGAAUCAAUUAUUUGUAAUUUUAAAUUUAAUUUAUGAUACCAUCAUAAUCUUAUAUUACCUUGAUGUUAAAAGUGAUGUUAAUUUAGAUUAACUUUUUCAAUUAUUUUGAGAUUUAUGGUGAUCAUAUUCUAUUUGAUUUUACCAACUGGCUGCAUUACUUAGUUCUUGAAAUUUUUUAUUUAUAAUCUUUCAAGUUGUGGUGACCCAUGGUGAAAGUGAUUUUAGUUUUUUAUGAAUACUUUUUCUAGAUUUUAGAAUAAAAAGAGUACUAAUAAAGAAACUUAUUUGCGAUCACAUUGAACAUAAAGCAUUUUUGUAUAUCAAAAAAUAGAAUCAGCCUACACUUUUUUAUCUCUAAAAAUGGAAUCAACUUAUAUUUAUCAUGGAUUAUGAGAUGUGGCAUUUGUGACGCAAAUAAUGGUGUAAUGUAAUUAAUCACGUUUAAAAAUUUAUAAAAAUUGAUCACAUUCACUAUUUGAAUAUUUUAUUUUCAUAUCAAAUGUAGAUUACAUCACAUAAUGAGCAUUUUCAUUUAAUUUUAAAGGGGAAAAAAUAAUACUAAACAUCCCAAAACUUCCACUAGAAUAUUCAUUUCAAAAUAAGGUGUGAUACUCGUCAAGCGAUGACUAAUCUUUCAUAGUUUUUAAAGUAAUUUAUUUUAAUAUUUAAUGAUUUACAUGAUCCGUGCUACGCACCUCUUAUAUAUAGUACAAUGAAUUUUUUUUCUAGAUAAGCACUAGUGUUUAUUUCAACUUUUGGACCAAUUAAAUGAAUUAAAAUCGGACUGAUGCCCCUCAUUGAUUGGGAUCGAGUUCAAGUUUCAAAAUUCUUCCGAAUCAACUACGUUUCUAGAAAUAUGUUGAAAAUCAAACCAACCACUUUUUUUUUUAGUCGAUAGAUCAUGAAUGCCAACCAAUGAUACUUUAUUCUACCAAAUUGAUUACGCUUUUAGAAAUACGUUGAAAGAUCAAACCAACCAUUUUACUUAGAAUAAAAGCUUGAGUACCAACAUUCGAGUCCAAUAUUAAAUGUCACUUAUUUAUUAAAUGAUGAAUACAAAAUUAGUUAUUACUCUAUUAUAUCAUUAACAAAUGAAUGUCACAUUAAUUCUUAUUUAAAUUAAGACUCAAAUAUUAAUAUUCUUAACAUUACUAGUUUAUUUAUUUAAAGAGAAAAAAAGAAUAAGCAAUACAAAUAAUGAUACAUUUGUAAAUACACACACAUAUAUAAGGAUGGAUCAACAACCCCCUAAAAAUAUUCUCAAUUUUACAUUAAUUAAUAUUUAUUAGAUUUGAAUUGAAUCAAUGGAUGAGAUUUAUUGAAAUCAAAUAUUCAAAAUUUUUAAUAUCUUUUCUCUCUAUGUAAACCCCACCUCAAAUCUUUCUUCUUCUUUUAUUUUUUUUCUCUUAAUUCACGUGAUGUGCUUUCUCUCUCUCUCCCCUCCUCUCUUCUCUUCACUUGUUCUUUGUAAUCUAUGACUUUUCAUUUGCUUUUUUUUUUCUCAGCCAUAAAAAUUCUUGACUCCUUCAAACAAAAAUUCUUUACUCUCUUCAAUUGUUAACCUCACAACUCUUUGUGAAGAUGCCUAAAGAUAUAGAAGAUUUGGUAGACAAGCAAACACAAAAUUUUGUAGUAAUGUUGUUGUCAAUAGACAAGCAUAAUCACAAGGAUUUUUUUGUUAAACUUGUGUUUGAUGAAUGUUUCGGUGGUGGUUAAAAUUAAUAAUUUUGUACUUUCUAAUAGUAUGUGGAGAGAGAAAAUGAAUGAAAUAAAGAGUUGUGAGGUUAACAGUAGGAGAGAGUAAAGAAUUUGAAAAAUGCUAGGUAAAGAGAAAGUUGAGAGAAAUAGUGAAGAAAAUGGUAGAGAGAGAGUGGAUGGAUAGAGAGAGAGGAUUAAUUUCUCUCAAUUUUCUCUCAGCUUUCUCUCUGCUUAGCACCACACCACUUUCAGAAUUUUUGUUGGAGAGAGUUAGAAUUUUUAUGGUUGAGCAAAAAAAAAAGCAAACGAAAAGUCAUAGAUUAAAAAGAACAAGAGAAGAUAAGAGAGGAGGGAAGAGAAAGAGAAAGCACAUCAGGUGAAGGAAAAGUAAAAAUAAAAGGAGGAAAAAGAUUUGAGGUGGGGAUCACAUAGAGAGAAAAGACAUUAAAAAAUCUUGAAUAUUUUUUAAUAAAUCACACCCAUUGAUUCAAUUCAAAUCUAAAGCAUAUUAGUUAGUGUAAAAUUAAGAGUAUUUUUAAGGGAUUGUUGAUCCAUCCCUUAUAUAUAAAUAAUUCUCUAGUCAAGGCAUUCUUACUCUUAGCUAAUUAGCUAGCAGUUGCUCUUUAUCUCCCCACUUUCUUCAUUUAGGUCUUAUUUGGGAUUAAAGUAUUGUAACUUUUAAAUUAAAUCUGUUGUAGAAAAAAGUUGUAACUAUAAAAUAAAAAUUAAUAAUAUGUAGUAAAUAUAAAUUUUAAAUAAUAAUUAUAAAUUUUCUAUCAUACAAGUAAAAAAUCAAUCAGAUUAAUACAGCUUCUAAGUUAUAACAGUUAGUGUUUACCAAACAUUUUAGUGUUAUAAUUUAAAACUAUAGUAAUCCAACGUCAAUCACAAACACACCCUUAAUUACCCACCAAGCCCCCCAGAAUUCUUAUCUCGGCCAGCUCGCCGGCCCUAUCACUGCCGACUCUGACCUCGCCUAGCCCUUUGGCAAGCUUGAAGGGAUUGAUUCUGAUGCCAUCCGUGAGACCGCUUACGAGGUACUUUUCACUUCAUGCAGGUCUUCUCCAGGGCUUGGUGGACCCAAUGCUACAAGCUUUUAUUCCUCAAAUGACAAUAAUAAUAAUAACGGUGGUGGUGACGAGGGAGUAGGAGGAGGCGGUGGUUCUGAAUCCGGGUCACCGACCGCUAGGUUUAACGGCUUCAUACUAAUUCCAAUUCUUAUUUUGAGCAUGCAACAAAUGCCAUUCAAUCUGCCUGCCAACAUGUAUCAGAAGUUGCUGCCUACCGUCUAAUCUUCCUUGAUUCAAACUUCGUGUUCUACGAAAGUCUUUAUGUCGGUGAUGUUGCAAAUGCAAGAGUUAGGCCUGCAUUGCAAACUCUUAAGCAGAACCUCACUCUUUUGAGUGCCAUUCUUAUGGAUAAAGCUCAGGCUUUAGCCAUAAAAGUAAGUUAUGAAGGCAUCUUUCGAAGCAUUCCUUAUGAUUUUGCUUGUUGGGGGAAGCUCCCGAGUCUUCUAUCGUUCCGAUCAUCAGAUGAUUGAGGAAGAUUUUGACAGCUUGAAGAGGGUAUUCUGCACAUGUGGUGAAGGACUGAUAGUUGAAGAUGUGGUGGAUCGCAAGGCUGAGACCGUUGAAGGGGUGAUAGGUUUGAUGGGGCAACAAAUUGAACAACUAAUAGAAGAUUUCAUAAUUCUUUUAUGUGAAACAAGUGGUAUCGGAGUUGGAAGCACAAGUCAAAAGCUACCAAUGCCACCAACAAUAGGAAGGUGGAACAGAGCAGAUCCUAACACCAUACUGAGGGUUUUGUGUCACAUGAACGACCGAACGGCAAACCAGUUUCUGAAGAAAUCUUUCCAGUUAGCAAAGAGGAAAUGAAGAUAAACCUUGUCUUGUACAUUUGAAAUAGAGAGAGUAAAUUUGUGUUUCACAAUAGUAUCGAUCACUUCUAGCCAAAUAACUGAAAAUAAAACUUGGAAAUACUAUAGGGGGUUCUUGUAUCUAAAUUCUGUUCACUCAAAUUCUAUAUGAAGAUGUUGUUGAGGGUUGAGAGAGCAUUGUAGUCUUUUUGGACUUCAAUUUUUUUUCCUUUUUCUUUUUUUCCUAGCACUAGGUACUGUUUGAUCUUAGUGUGAAUCUUCUUGGAGUAUUUUAUCAUAGAGAGUGUGCGUAAUAUAUCUUCGCAUAUAGUUUUUUUCUUUUAUUUUUAAUCUUUAUUUAUCCUGUCUACAAGAUGAAUAUUUUUAAAAAUAAAAACUCACAUGGUUAUCUAUUGAGCUAUUACUCUGUGAUUAGAAGAGAACUCACAGUGAAAUCCAUCUAAUGGUUUUUGCUUUUGUAGAUUUUCAAGAUUUUUUUUCCCUAAAAUUUCAACUUUCCAUAGAGUCACCAGGGAAACAAAUACUUUACAACAUUUUCUUUACAUUCUUUUUCUUCUCUUUCGAGCUAAAACAUUCUUGUGACUGAUGUGAAGGAAAUUUAACACAGACUGUUGUAUCAAACAAUCAACCCCAAAGUAAAAUUAUCAGUUAAAUCUCUAUAUUAGCCUGGCCAGAAACCGAGCUUCAGUUCUGAAAUUACUAUAAAAUUCUUCAUUCUGCUGUACCGUACAUCCGCCUUGGUCGUACAGCAGUUCAUCACCUUCAGUUCUUCAGUGAGCACCUCCAUUGAAUCCGAAACUUCAGCCUUGUACACAUAGAACUUUGCCACUACCAAGAAGAAAACAAAGUUCAAGACAUUCAAUAUAGCGAAAAAGGCAUAGUAAUAGUCCAAAUGAGAAACAUUAAGGUUGUUUAGAAUCCAUCCUUUGUGCCCAUGCCUUUUGGUUAUGUCAGAAACCGUUGAAAGCAGAAAGGUACUAAGGAAAUUUCCAAUUCCUAAAGUAGUCAUUGAAUAAGAAGUUCCAAGACUCUUCAUGCUCUCUGGUGCCUGAUCAUAAAAGAACUCAAUCUUCGCUACCUCCUCUAGGAUUCUUAGUCCACCUUCGCGUAAUCCUGACAAAGUAUCGGUCAUAUAAGACGACACAAAUAAGCAUUGAUAAGGUUACAAAUCCUGUUAAACUUGCAGGGGGGAUCUUGAAGUUGCUACCCAUAGCUCUAUCAAGGGUAGUGCCUUGCUUUACAAAAAGGGUGUUGAUUUGAGCAAGCAUUGUGCUGGGAACAAACGUGGCAACCAAGAUUGGGAUCAUUGCUAACAUUUGCUUGGUUUCCUCUACUUGAGUCACUGAGCAUAACAUCCAUGGAUUUGUUGAACUUGUUUUGACUGCAGCUUUGUUAAAAAACCUGCACGCAAGAAUAGACAUGAAGAUACAAUUAAACAAAAAUGUUCCUUGAGUCUGCCACCUAUUCAAUGGGACCAAUAUAUAUAUAUAUGCAACUAUGACACUAACCUCAAAUUUUGGGUGGAGUCGAUCCUGUACUUCCCUUUUUGUGCAUAAUCUUCCAAGUUAAGUUCAUAAAGUUCUUUAGGGUCAGUAGGCAGAGGCACAUUCCAUUUUCUUAUGGCAGCAACAAUGACCUUUGCCAUCCUUGUGAAUGGGCUUCCUGUGGGCUUCUUGUGCCUGUAAAAGGGUGUGCCAGCAAAGAAAAUCGCAAUGGAUAUCGCAAGACCGAGUGUCGGAAGCCCAUAACCCAAGGUCCAGCCCACAUUGUCUUGUAUGUAGACAAGCACUGUAUUGGCAAAGAGUGUCCCAAAGAAGAUGCUGAACAUCCACCAGUUGAAGAAGGAGAGCUUAUGGGCCUUCUCCUUGGGCUCAAAUUCAUCGAAUUGGUCCGCGCCUAUC